CGCCGGCGACGAUGUGCUGCCGCAGGACGGGUCGUGGCUCGGCGACGACGACUACCCCGCGCUCAACGGCACCAACGUGGAAGAGCUCCUGGAGUGCGUGGAGGCCGCGCAGCAGGCCACGGAGGACGGCCACUGCGCGCCCAGCUUCGACAAGGUGCUCUGCUGGAAGGGCCAGCCCGGCGGCACGCUGGCCACGCAGACCUGCUUCGCGGAGCUCAACGGCGUCGUCUACGACAACAUCGGACGCAACGCGACGCGCUGGUGCCUGGAGAACGCCACGUGGUCGUCGUACUCCAACUACUCGGCCUGCAUGGUGGAGCGCGUGAGCACGGAGCCGGAGACCGCGGACCACUCCGUCAUCACCUCCACCAUCUACUACGUGGGCUACACCGUGUCCACCGUGGCCCUCACCAUGGCCGUCUUCAUCUUCUCCUACUUCCGGGAGCUGCACUGUCUGCGCAACCGCAUCCACAUGAACCUGAUGCUGGCCUACAUCGCAGCGGACAUCGUCUGGAUCCUCAACAUGGCGGUCAACGUGUACCUGAUCGAGCACAUCAGCCAGGCCUUCUGCUUCAUCUUCGUCGUGCUGCUGCACUACACCAUGCUGACGCACUUCCUGUGGAUGUUCGUCGAGGGACUGUACCUGUACACGCUGGUGGUGAAGACGUUCCAGCAGGGCACCGCCAAGCUGCCGGCCUACCUGGUCAUCGGCUGGGGCGUCCCGCUGGUCGUCGUCGUGUCCUGGGUCGUGACGCGCCUGCUGCACCCGGAGGAGCAGACCGAACACGAGCAGGACUUGUGCUCGUGGCUGGCGUACCAUUGGUCGGACUGGGUGUACCAGGCGCCUGUCAUCGCCGUGCUCGCCAUCAACACCAUCUUCCUGUGCUUCGUGAUGUAUGUGCUCAUCACCAAGCUGCGCUCGGACAGCUCGAUGCGGCCGGGCGCCAUGGGCCCGCCGGGCGACGCGGAGCAGCAGCAGUCCAAGAAGGCGGCCAAGGCCCUGCUCGUGCUCAUCCCGCUGCUGGGCAUCACCUACAUCCUCGUCAUCGCCGGCCCCACGGAGGGCCACGCGGCCAACGUGUUCGCGCACGUGCGCGCGCUGCUGCUGUCCACGCAGGGUCUGCUGGUGGCCAUCUUCUACUGCUUCCUCAACACGGACGUACGCCACACGCUGGCCAACCGGUGGGAGCGCUGGAGGGAGGUUCGCACGCUGGGCCGGCAGCGCAACGGGCGCGCCGCCUCCGUCAACUGGACCAACCGAGACACCUUCGGCCGCGGCAUGGCGGAGGCGGAGACGACGCCCAUCGCCGCCAACGAGCGCUGAGCUUGGCCCUCAAGCUGCCUUAGGCAUGUCCAUGACUCUUGACCCCCAAGGCGCCCAAGGCCUCAGGGCCGCGAUCUUGCCGGCCUUCAUCAAGGUCUUGACGGAGGACACGACACGCGGCGCCGCCGGGGGAAGUCCAGCGCGCACUGCACCGACGCAGGGAGUCUUGCCUCACGGUCCACCACGCGCAAGUGGGGGACAGGUCGCCCGCCUUCAGGAACGGCCACGACCAGCAGUCCUGGCUGGACAAGCCCCACCACGUAGAGGCGCACAUGUGAGCGCCCGGCCCGCCCGGCCCGCCCGGCCGUGGUCCACACUGGACGCCCUGGAGGCCCUGGGGACCCUGGAGACCCUGGAGACCCUGGAGGCCCUGAGGGUCCUGGAGACCCAGGAGGUCCUGCAGACCCUGGAGGCCCUGCAGACCCUGCAGACCCUGAAGGACCUGCAGCAGAAGGACGCUCACUCAGCACCGCGUCCGCGGCAUGUGAACGCGUCCAUACAUAGCAGGUGGAUGUGAUGCGACGCGUUCUCCAGCGACCUAUUAGUUCCAGCCUCAGUGCAACCAUGACUUGUGAUGGACUGUCGAUACCACGGCACGACCGCCAUCGUUUUCUUCUUUUCACUGCAUCCAGAAUGACGCGUUCGGCGCGGGGUUGCCAGUGUUCCUCCGCGACGUGACGUGACGUGACGUGACGUCCCCUCGGUGUUGUGCAGGCGCAACACGCCCGGGGGCAGAAGAAGUAUGUCGCCAAAGUGUCGCUAUUGUGCUGCUGGAUGGAUUCCCUGAAUUCCCGGGGCGACAGCGUCCUCAGACUUUCCUCUUUUUCUACGAUUGCUUUGAAGUGGCUUUUCGUUUAUUUCUUGAUGGGAUUGCAGUGUAGAACCCCAUCAUGACGUUCGUGGAAAUCAAUGGAAAUGUUCACGGUAGUCUUUUCCUCUCCGACAUGAUUGUUGUUGUGAAAAUGGAAAUCCCACGGAACGCAAUGGAGCCGCGUGUUUCUGUUUCGCCCCACUGUUUUUAGGCUAAGACGACGAUUGUGAAAAAGAACGAACGACUGUUGUAAAAUGAA
RNA transcript from Thrips palmi, 2394 nucleotides. It is a transcript of the gene named diuretic hormone receptor-like, with no coding region annotated. Lineage: Eukaryota; Metazoa; Arthropoda; Insecta; Thysanoptera; Thripidae. The record is from RefSeq and is a predicted model, not a curated record. The transcript is spliced from 12 exons.